This 377-nucleotide non-coding RNA is filed under the name Pan troglodytes (chimpanzee). Lineage: Eukaryota; Metazoa; Chordata; Mammalia; Primates; Hominidae. The record is from RNAcentral.
AGGCGAGAGGCUUCGGCGGCGGGAGAAGGGGCUUCGUCCUACCGCCAUCUUUGCGGGAAUUGAACAGCUUGGACUUGGAGACAGUGAGUUAAAACAGAAAUAAGAAGGCGGCAGAAAAAGACUACCAGAUUGAAAUGUGUUGGAUAUUCAUAUCCACCCAGCACCUCAGAAUGUGGCCAUGGAGGAUGGAGACAGAGAUUGGAGUGACGCAUCUUCAAGCCUAGGAACACUAAGGAUUGCUGGUAAUCACCAGAAGCUGGAAGAGGCAAGAAAGUGUCCUUUCCUAGAGCCUUCAGAGAGAGCGCAGCCUUGCCAACACCUUGAUUAUACGCUUCAAGCUUCUAGAAUUGUGAGAGAAUAAAUUUCUGUUGUUAUAA